Molecule: ribosomal RNA, 353 nt
Filed under: uncultured Scutellospora
Lineage: Eukaryota; Fungi; Glomeromycota; Glomeromycetes; Diversisporales; Gigasporaceae
Description: SSU rRNA
Rfam family: Eukaryotic small subunit ribosomal RNA
Source: RNAcentral
CAGGACUUUUACCUUGAAAAAAUUAGAGUGUUCAAAGCAGGCUUAUGUCUGAAUACAUUAGCAUGGAAUAAUAGAAUAGGACGGUGGUCCUGUUUUGUUGGUUUCUGAAUCACCGUAAUGAUUAAUAGGGAUAGUUGGGGGCAUUAGUAUUCAAUUGUCAGAGGUGAAAUUCUUGGAUUUAUUGAAGACUAACUUCUGCGAAAGCAUUUGCCAAGGAUGUUUUCAUUAAUCAAGAACGAAAGUUAGGGGAUCGAAGACGAUCAGAUACCGUCGUAGUCUUAACCAUAAACUAUGCCGACUAGGGAUCGGACGAUGUUAAAUUUUAUUGACUCGUUCGGCGCCUUACGGGAAAC